GACGAACGCUGGCGGCGUGCUUAACACAUGCAAGUCGAACGGAAAGGCCCUGCUUUUGUGGGGUGCUCGAGUGGCGAACGGGUGAGUAACACGUGAGUAACCUGCCCUUGACUUUGGGAUAGCUUCAGGAAACUGGGGCUAAUAACGGAUAGGAGCUCCUGCUGCAUGGUGGGGGUUGGAAAGUUUCGGCGGUUGGGGAUGGACUCGCGGCUUAUCAGCUUGUUGGUGGGGUAGUGGCUUACCAAGGCUUUGACGGGUAGCCGGCCUGAGAGGGUGACCGGCCACAUUGGGACUGAGAUACGGCCCAGACUCCUACGGGAGGCAGCAGUGGGGAAUAUUGCACAAUGGGCCGAAGCCUGAUGCAGCAACGCCGCGUGCGGGAUGACGGCCUUCGGGUUGUAAACCGCUUUCGCCUGUGACGAAGCGUGAGUGACGGUAAUGGGUAAAGAAGCACCGGCUAACUACGUG
RNAcentral lists this ribosomal RNA (468 nucleotides) under uncultured bacterium. Its description in RNAcentral is "partial 16S ribosomal RNA". It matches the Rfam family "Bacterial small subunit ribosomal RNA", at positions 28 to 507 of the family's 1533-position model. The record is from RNAcentral.